Molecule: long non-coding RNA, 379 nt
Organism: Gorilla gorilla gorilla (western lowland gorilla)
Lineage: Eukaryota; Metazoa; Chordata; Mammalia; Primates; Hominidae
Source: Ensembl
CCAAAACUGAAAUUGAAGAUUAUAAAUCAGAAGAGCGUGGCCAUCCUUCAGACCCCUCCAGACAUCCAAUCAGAACAUUCAAGGGAUGGUGAUAUGGAUGAUAGUCGAGAAGGAGAACUUAUGGAUUGUGAUGGAAAAUCAGAAUCUAGUCCUGAGCGGGAAGCUGUGGAUGAUGAAACUAAGGGAGUGGAAGGAACAGAUGGUGUCAAAAAGAGAAAAAGGAAACCAUACAGACCAGGUAUAGUGCCUGAGGUAGACAUUUCAAUAUCAUCAACACUUGGUUAAUUAAAGAAAAAUACAAUACUGAAGACUUCAAUUAAAAUUAAAUAUUCAGGAUUAAGAACUGUCUAAACAAAAAUAUGUGCACAUAAAUUAAAGA